Molecule: unclassified non-coding RNA, 265 nt
Filed under: Hevea brasiliensis (rubber tree)
Lineage: Eukaryota; Viridiplantae; Streptophyta; Magnoliopsida; Malpighiales; Euphorbiaceae
Source: RNAcentral
UAAACUUCCAUUAUAGAAGAGAAAAAGUGCAUGUAAAAUCAAAUGGUCCAAGGAUUUAUAAUUGAUGGUAGUUUGCAAUCUGCAAUCUGCACACACAUAAUGCCUUUUUCUUCACCUUCCUAUUAUGGUCUAUACUUUCCAACUCAACCUUCACAUGGAAAAGCCUACAAGACUUGAUGUGCAGAUAAAUACAAACUAAAACUAAAACUAAGCCAUACUUUAUGUUAAAGGAUGAUACACAGAGGGCUGGGGACGUUUUAAUUUG